AAUUCUAAAAGUAACACCCUUCCCUUCCGAUAAUUAACUUCCACAAUCAUGGUGACACUUUACAACUGAUGGCGUGGAAAAAAAAAAGAAUUACAAUUAUAUUUUUUGGCGGCAUCUCUUCAGUCCAAUUCCCAUAUUCCACAAUAAAUACUCCCUCCUCUCAUAUUUUCAAUAUAAUUUGCUCCCUCUACAAUUUCUAAUUUCCUCUUGUCAUGUUCUAUUCGCCGCAGAAAUCAAAAGUUCUAGCAAGAGAGAAUGGAAGCUAACUACCUCAAUCACACGCCAUGAGUUCCAGCAGCGCGCUUUCUUCCGGCGAUGAGAGAAGCGUCUCAAAAUUCCAAAUGGUAUUCACUUUUGAGAGAUGCGGAUCAUAUAUGCCAUGUAUUGCAAUACGACGAGUCGAUGAAGAUGGUGAAGCUAAACCACAAAAGAUUGGAGUGAAGAUCUUGAAGUGCUUCAAGACACAUAAUAGAUUUUUGGCACCUUAGUUAUUUAAAUAUGUUGAAAUGUUUGUAAUUGGCAUAUUAUUUUAUGUAAUAUUAUUUGAUAAAAUUUCUAUGCUACAAUCGUGUUAGAUGCA
Long non-coding RNA from Salvia miltiorrhiza (redroot sage), 580 nucleotides. RefSeq lists it as uncharacterized. Lineage: Eukaryota; Viridiplantae; Streptophyta; Magnoliopsida; Lamiales; Lamiaceae. The transcript is spliced from 2 exons. The record is from RefSeq and is a predicted model, not a curated record.